AAGAAGAGAGGCACCCGAUUGGCACGGUGCCGAUGACUAAGGGCAUUCAAGACCCUAGGGAUGGCGCCCAAAGCACAUGUCGCGCUCCCUGAGCGCAAAGACUGAUGACGACAUUGAGACCCGAGGAAGGUCUAAGGCACAGAAGACAGACUACACAAACUGUGCACCACCACAGACACAGGCUGGAACUGCCCUGCCCACGCUGGUCUCGCGCUGAAAAGCGACCCGCUCCCUUCGCCUGCCCAAAGGGGACUGCUCCUGGACAGCCCUCUCUCCUGCGCUAAAUUUAAAACACCUCCCUGCAAUUCCCAGCUUUGUCCCUUCCUCC
Long non-coding RNA from Aquila chrysaetos chrysaetos, 328 nucleotides. RefSeq lists it as uncharacterized. The transcript is spliced from 3 exons. The record is from RefSeq and is a predicted model, not a curated record. Lineage: Eukaryota; Metazoa; Chordata; Aves; Accipitriformes; Accipitridae.